CGGGAUGUAGCGCAGCCAGGUAGCGCGCGUCGUUCGGGACGACGAGGUCGAGAGUUCGAGUCUCUCCAUCCCGACAA
Molecule: transfer RNA, 77 nt
Filed under: Bacteroides sp.
Lineage: Bacteria; Pseudomonadati; Bacteroidota; Bacteroidia; Bacteroidales; Bacteroidaceae
Description: tRNA-Pro
Rfam family: tRNA
About the family: Transfer RNA (tRNA) molecules are approximately 80 nucleotides in length. Their secondary structure includes four short double-helical elements and three loops (D, anti-codon, and T loops).
Source: RNAcentral